CCUACGGGCGGCAGCAGUGAGGAAUAUUGGUCAAUGGGCGUAAGCCUGAACCAGCCAAGUCGCGUGAGGGAUGAAGGUUCUAUGGAUCGUAAACCUCUUUUAUAAGGGAAUAAAGUGUGGGACGUGUCCUGUUUUGUAUGUACCUUAUGAAUAAGGAUCGGCUAAUUCCGUGCCAGCAGCCGCGGUAAUACGGAGGAUCCGAGCGUUAUCCGGAUUUAUUGGGUUUAAAGGGUGCGUAGGCGGCCUUUUAAGUCAGCGGUGAAAGUCUGUGGCUCAACCAUAGAAGUGCCGUUGAAACUGGGAGGCUUGAGUAUGUUUGAGGCAUGCGGAAUGCGUGGUGUAGCGGUGAAAUGCGUAGAUAUCACGCAGAACCCCGAUGGCGAAGGCAGCCUGCCAAGCCAUGACUGACGCUGAUGCACGAAAGCGUGGGGAUCAAACAGGAUUAGAUACCCGUGUAGUC
RNAcentral lists this ribosomal RNA (460 nucleotides) under uncultured bacterium. RNAcentral describes it as "partial 16S ribosomal RNA". It matches the Rfam family "Bacterial small subunit ribosomal RNA", at positions 338 to 795 of the family's 1533-position model. The record is from RNAcentral.